Molecule: transfer RNA, 92 nt
Filed under: Plantactinospora mayteni
Lineage: Bacteria; Bacillati; Actinomycetota; Actinomycetes; Micromonosporales; Micromonosporaceae
Description: tRNA-Pro
Source: RNAcentral
CGGACCGGUGUGCCGUACCGGUGGGCCGGGCGUCGGCGGCCCGACCCACCGGUACGGCGGAUGGUGCGCGGUUCAGUUCUGCGCCGCGCCGG